Molecule: ribosomal RNA, 142 nt
Filed under: Listeria monocytogenes
Lineage: Bacteria; Bacillati; Bacillota; Bacilli; Caryophanales; Listeriaceae
Description: partial 23S ribosomal RNA
Rfam family: Bacterial large subunit ribosomal RNA
Source: RNAcentral
CGUGAAGCCCCCCUCAAGAGGAGAUUUCCCAUUUCUUCGAAAAGUAAGAUCCCGGAAAGAUGAUAAUGUAGAUAGGUAUGGAGUGGAAGUGUAGCGAUACAUGGAGCAGACAAAUACUAAUCGAUCGAGGACUUAACCAAAA